GGAGGAGGUGCAGUGUAACUGGCUGAGGUACAACAGUUGCGUGGCCUCAUUUCAAGCCUGGCUGGAGGAUGCUCAGGGGGCUCUUAGACAACCUGAGAACACCAAACGGGAGUUUUUUCGUAAUCUUCCACACUGGAUGGACCAGCACGCUGCUAUGAAU
This is a long non-coding RNA of Sinocyclocheilus anshuiensis, 160 nucleotides long. RefSeq lists it as uncharacterized. The record is from RefSeq and is a predicted model, not a curated record. The transcript is spliced from 2 exons. Lineage: Eukaryota; Metazoa; Chordata; Actinopteri; Cypriniformes; Cyprinidae.